Molecule: ribosomal RNA, 507 nt
Filed under: uncultured bacterium
Lineage: Bacteria
Description: bacterial SSU rRNA
Rfam family: Archaeal small subunit ribosomal RNA
Source: RNAcentral
GACGAGGGAUUCCAAGUGCCAGCACUUUGUGUUGGCUGUUCUUCUGUCUAAAAAACAGGAGAAGUAAGGGGCGGGUAAGACGGGUGCCAGCCGCCGCGGUAAUACCCGCGCCCCGAGUGGUGGUCGAUAUUAUUGAGCCUAAAACGUCCGUAGCCGGUCUUCUAAAUCCUUGGGUAAAUCGGGCAGCUCAACUGUCCGAAUUCCGGGGAGACUGGGAGACUUGGGACCGGGAGAGGUCAGAGGUACUUCUGGGGUAGGGGUAAAAUCCUGUAAUCCUGGAAGGACCACCGGUGGCGAAGGCGUCUGACUAGAACGGAUCCGACGGUGAGGGACGAAGCCCUGGGGCGCAAACGGGAUUAGAUACCCCGGUAGUCCAGGGUGUAAACGCUGCGGGCUUGGUGUUGGGGGUCCUUAGUGGGCGCCCAGUGCCGGAGAGAAGUUGUUAAGCCUGCUGCUUGGGGAGUAUGUCCGCAAGGAUGAAACUUAAAGGAAUUGGCGGGGGAGCAC